This 683-nucleotide small RNA is filed under the name Pongo abelii (Sumatran orangutan). RNAcentral describes it as "processed transcript". Lineage: Eukaryota; Metazoa; Chordata; Mammalia; Primates; Hominidae. The record is from RNAcentral.
CAUUUUAAAUGGAACCUCCCAGCCCAUCCCCUACCCACCUGUCCUGCUUUUUUUUUUCUCCUUAUCACUUUCUCACCACUAGAGGCCAGCUCCAGGAGGGCAAGGGUUUUUCCCUGCCUGCCGCUGUAUCCCCAGUGUCUAGAACAAAGCCUAGCACAAGGAAAAGAAAAAAGCCAUCCAGGAGGAGGAGGAGAGAGACCAGGCCUUGCAGGCCAAGGCGAGCCUGACUAUCCCACUGGUGCCCGAGACGGAAGAUGACCGCAAGCUGGCGGCUCUGCUGAAGUUCCACACCCUGGACUCCUACGAGGACAAGCAGAAACUCAAGCGGACCGAGAUCAUCAGCCGCUCCUGGUUCCCCUCCGUCCCCGGAUCCGCCUCCAGCAGCAAGGCCAGCGGCGUCCUGAAGAAGCUGGCACAGAGCCGCAGAACCGCACUUGCCACCUCCCCCAUCACCGUGGGGGACCUGGGCAUCGUGCGGCGGAGGUCUCGGGACGUCCCGGAGAGCCCCCAGCAUGCGGCCGACACCCCCAAAUCUAGGGAACCGCGGGUACCAGAGGAGGCUACCCAGGACCGGCCCAUGUCCCCCGGAGACUGUCCUCCGGAAACAGCUGAGACCCCCAAGUGCAGCAGGCCGAGGGGGCAGGAAGGGAGCCGUCAGGACAAGCCCCUGUCACCAGCAGGCU